Olea europaea var. sylvestris is the source of this 676-nucleotide long non-coding RNA. RefSeq lists it as uncharacterized. NCBI's taxonomy places the organism in Eukaryota, Viridiplantae, Streptophyta, Magnoliopsida, Lamiales, Oleaceae. The transcript is spliced from 3 exons. The record is from RefSeq and is a predicted model, not a curated record.
AGGGAAAAUAUAUGUAUGGGAAAUCCAGUCCAGCCCUCCUGUCCUCAUUUCGAGGCUAUCUCAUGUGCAAUCAAAAUCUGCAAUUAGACAGACUGCAAUGUCCUUCGAUGGAAGCACCAUUCUUUGCUGCUGUGAGGACGGGACAAUAUGGCGGUGGGAUGUUGUAGCAAGUUCUUGAAAAUGUCCAUAGGAGAAGGGCCAUUGAAGGUGUGAAAUACACUUUCAUGGUUGACUAAAUCGUGUUCCAUAUGUUGAAGUUCUGUGAGUCGUGCUUGAUCACAGAUGCAAAGUAUUGCAACAAACGAAUCUGCAGCCAAAGCAUUGUACGUAGCAUCUGAAUGAUGGAAAUCUUGGGUUGCAUCAACAUGUUAACCGUCUUUCUGUGUGUAUCAUGGACGUGCUGCAUAAUUUAUUUAGUUACACAAGGAAAACAGUUAGUCCUCGUUUGAGCCACAUUAUUGUAAAAGUGAAAAUGAAAAAUAUAGUCGUUAUGGGCUCCACACAAGAGCUAAAAAGUCAAAUAUGAUGGCUUGAUGUGAUGGAUAACGGUGAUAUUUUUCGUUUUAAUGAGGAAAUAAUGGGACUCAAACAGAGCCUGAGUUAAGUCCGGUGCACUACAUAUAUGUAAAUGUGUGGUAAAAUCUACAUGGUUAUAGGAUCACCAAAGCUUCACAUA